This 66-nucleotide transfer RNA is filed under the name Sphaerodactylus townsendi. RNAcentral's name for it is "tRNA-Ala". It matches the Rfam family "tRNA". From Rfam's summary of the family: Transfer RNA (tRNA) molecules are approximately 80 nucleotides in length. Their secondary structure includes four short double-helical elements and three loops (D, anti-codon, and T loops). The record is from RNAcentral. Lineage: Eukaryota; Metazoa; Chordata; Lepidosauria; Squamata; Sphaerodactylidae.
GCAGCUCAGCGUUACAGCAUCUGCUUGGCAUGCAGAAGGUCUCAGGUUCAAUUCCUGGUAUCUCCA